This is a long non-coding RNA of Brassica napus (rape), 3175 nucleotides long. RefSeq lists it as uncharacterized. Lineage: Eukaryota; Viridiplantae; Streptophyta; Magnoliopsida; Brassicales; Brassicaceae. The record is from RefSeq and is a predicted model, not a curated record. The transcript is spliced from 5 exons.
ACUAUACUAAAAGGAGGAUAACAAGAGCAAAGAGAGUGUCCACGUCUGCUAAAAAAAUCAUCCAAUCAGAUGAUUUCACUUGACACAUCAUACUACAUUUAUAUAUUUCAUGCGACAUCUUCUAAGUGGGCUGUUUAUACUUUAAAAAAACCCAUAUCAGCCCAUGGUCACUAAAUCUCUUUGGUAUGAAAGCGUAAAGUCCCGACCCUUCUCCUUCGUUUCAUAGACGAAUUUCUCUGUAAAUUUUCGUUUGGAGAGUAACGUACUAACACAACUAAGCUAUUCUUCUCCCUUUUGUAUUUUUGCCUUCCUUCUCUUUAUAUAUGUCUCUUGAAAUAUCUCUUCACCUACUCACGCUUCCGUUUCUCACAUCUACAAUUGUGAUCUAUCUCACGUCUCUCUUCCUCAUAAAGAGUGAGGAUGAAGAAGGUGAAGGUGUGAAUAUCAGUGGUUACUUCAUCAUGCUCGCGUUCACGUUCAUUAUCAUUUCAGUCCUCGCACUUCCAUUUUUUUAGUUGUUGUGUCUCACUGCAGGUAAGUUACGUUAGACUGACUUUUGUGACUAUCAUUAUGGUGUCGUUAAACCUCUUGACAAGUAAUGACCAUUACGGUAAAAUCCAUUCAUAUUCCCAUUUAUUUUUGUCAUGCUCUCUAAUGGACUUGAAAUUUACAGAGUCCAGUGGAGUCAAGACUCAAAACAUGCUUAAUACUAUGAGUCAGAUUUGUUCUGGAACAAACAGUAAUAUGGUAGUUAAGUUUGUCUUUAACAUGCCAUAUUUUUACUCUAUUCUGCCUUUUGAAGGCUGUACCAACAGUAUACACAGAUGUAAGUUGACCCACAAUUCAAUCAAAUCAGGUAAUGGCGAUGCCCUUAAAUAUUGAACCUUAUAAUCUAACAAUUCUCUUCCUUUUCAUAGUAAGAGUAGUUGGCACAGCUCUCAGUGACCAAACAUGUUAAGAGCUCGGAAGCAGGUCAGCUCUCAUCAAGGAAAAUGAUUACGUUUAUAUAGUUCUGAUAUGGAUUUCUCUGUUUUACAAAAGCUAUAUAUAAUCAGUAAAUUCAGAGCCAGAGUCUUGCCAUUUCCAUACAUGUUUAGUUUUGUUUUCAAAACUUUUACCAAAUUUUAUUCAUAGAUUCUAACAUGGCCAUGUAUGUAGGCUAAGUAGCAGGUUUACAAGGCGUCUUCUAUGGAGAAUGUGUCCUUCGCGAGCUUAGGAGAGGUUGUCCAGAUAUUGUAUUUCCCAUGGGGUUAUACAAAUUCUAAAACCGUAGAUAGUGUUAUGAUACUUAAUGUCUCUGUUGCAGACAAACAAUUAUCUUUCUCAGCUUGAGGGAACCACUGAGGUCUUGGUCUCACUCCCAUUUUGUUUCCAGUACAAAAAAAAAGAACAUGAUUACUUCUAUAUUAUAUAUCUCAAUGUUUGGAAUUUAAAUAGUAAAGAUUGGAAUAAUUCAGCUUAUUUUCUUUAGCUCGAGCGUAUAAAGUCACAUUUCUUAUGAUUACUGAAGCAGGAGCGAUCCCUGUUUUGGUGAACCCUUUAACCUCAUAGGAAUUCUGAUCCAGUACUUGCUUCAUCAGCCUCUCUAUAUGAAAACAACAUAUGGCUGAUAUUGUUUUCUGGUGCAGUCACUUCAAUAUCUCAAGUCCUUAAAGCUGGAACAUGGAAGCAAGAGUAAACGCAGACAUGUGGAUGAAGCUUUCAAACGAUUUACAUCAGACAUGUGGAUGAAGCUCUCAAACGUCAGACAUGUGGAUGAAGCUCUCAAACGAUUUACAUCUAUUUGGAUCCAACUGCUGCGGAAACGUUUGUAUCAAAGAAAGUUUAUCCUGUAGAAAAGUCAUGGUGGGCAAGGUUUAACAACUACUCAGUUGAAACAGUAUGAUCUCUUUCAUGUUGAUCAUACAAGCUUCUGUCUUUUCCCAUGAAUUCAGACUCCAUUGGUUUGUUCCAACAGCAAAUGCUUCUACAAGUCUCACUGAUUGUGUUUCUAAUAAACGGUUUCAAGCCGGAGACACCAGUUGUAUAAAAGAAAGCAGAGAGGCAGAGCUAGAGAGAAUUGUGAGGCUGAAGAAAGCAAAGGCAGACAUUAUCCAGCUAAAAGCUAACGAAGAAAAGCGGAGGCUGAUUGGUGGGUUAUUUGUAAGGACGUGGACAAUAUUCGAACGCUAUAUGCAGAGCUGUUUUCAUUACUUGAUUUUCUAACGCUACCAUCAGUUUAUUCUUACCUUCAUCACCUUAUCUCUUAAGAGUUGCACAUAUUUUUUAUUUCUUUCUCUAGAGAAACAGAUACUUAUCAUUCAUUUGUUCCUAAUAUUGAUCACUCUCUUCUGUUUUUCUUUGUUUCAGGUAUGUGCAGGUUGCAGAGUUUAAACACCUCUGUGUUAAGCUAACACCAAAGAAUGCAUACUUAUGCCUUUUGUAAGCCAUGACAGAACUCUCAAGCUUCCAAAAGAAUAUGAUACUACAACCACUUGGUGUUUGUGCACCAGUAUUGGAAGGAUCCUAGGUCAGUCUUAUAUGCAUGUUCCAAUGGCAUUGUGCAGCGGUAGCACAAAGUACAUGGUAAUCCAAUGAGAGCCAAAUGCUGUCAUUCGAGGGAAGAAGGUAACAUGACUGAUUCUGAUGAAUCUUUUGCCUUUUUUGGGUAAAAAUCUUUUGCCUUUUUGUUCCAAGGCAGUUGUUUUUAAUAAAUUAGUGCUACUUUUUGCUUUACAUUAUUGGGGUUUGGUAAUGUUUUAGUCAAGAAGACCACCUAACUUUUGGUCUUUUCUGUGACAAACCAAUGACUUCUGGACAAUGCAAUAUGGUUCUAACUUUUAGGGAGGCUUGGUGACUACCUGAUUGAAUCAGGGCUCCGAAACUCAAGCUGCUGCUAUGUUCAUGUCACCAAUAUUUUCUUACCUUCUAUCAUGCGAUGGAUCUCGGGAUUGUAUGAUUCUAAAGCAGUCUGGUAUUGUCUUCAUUUGUGUCAAGUUGAUAAUUUUAAUUCAUGGCAGUGUCGUACCAUAGUUUUUAUAGAGUUUAUGAUUAGUUCUAGAGAUUAAUCUUUAUGUGGUGUGUUAAAAAAAAAUACUUUUGUUAAUCCUAAUGUGUAAUUGAUUCACAAGAUCAAAGGCACAUGUAAAUUACAUUACAAGUUUACAACUAACAAGUAAUAUAUGUACAUCGAUUC